UGUGAGUUUGGAUACAAAUAUAUACCAAAUGUGACACAUGUCCCAACCGUGGACAACACCUCACAGUGACACCUUACAUAAAGGUAUAGUCAAAGACUGUUUUAGAAACUAAAAUCUUUGGGAAGUGCUCAAGGAAACCUUCGUACAUGGGAGACCAUGCGUCUAGGUUAUGAUAGAUAUCAUAUGGCCACAGAAUUAUCCUUGGUUGACCCAAUAGACCCCAAAGAAAAACAAGAAGAUUACUAUCAUAUUCUUCCCAAUGGUAAGUCUUCUCUUGACAUAUCAUUAUCUCCACUAUCUCUAAUUGAGAAUUAUACUUCAAAUAAACACCAAGAUACGUAUAUAGGGAGUGCUCGUAUAUAUACUCAGCAAGUGGAUGAGCACAUCCCUGUCUUAUGAUGAUACGUGGUUGAAUGUCAUUAGACAUCUUGUAUGAUAGUGACAAAACACCCUUCCAACGUUGGGUUUGCCUCACCCUCAACAGCUAUAGACC
Molecule: long non-coding RNA, 493 nt
Filed under: Panax ginseng (ginseng)
Lineage: Eukaryota; Viridiplantae; Streptophyta; Magnoliopsida; Apiales; Araliaceae
Description: long non-coding RNA (PGIN_LNC005765)
Source: RNAcentral